RNAcentral lists this unclassified non-coding RNA (240 nucleotides) under soil metagenome. RNAcentral describes it as "partial contains 5.8S ribosomal RNA, internal transcribed spacer 2, and large subunit ribosomal RNA". The record is from RNAcentral.
AACUGAUACUACCUGCGGGAACCUGCGGAAGGAUCAUUACAGAGUUUUCUAACUCCCAAACCCAUGUGAACUUACCAUUGUUGCCUCGGCGGAGCCUACCCUGUAGCUACCCUAUAAGGUGGUUACCCUGUAGCGCCCCGCCGGUGGAUUUUCAAACUCUUGUUAUUUUUAGUAAUCUGAGAGUCUUAUUUUAAAUAAGUCAAAACUUUCAGCAACGGAUCUCUAGAUCGGAAGAGCACA